This 1321-nucleotide long non-coding RNA is filed under the name Mus spicilegus (steppe mouse). Its description in RNAcentral is "lncRNA (ENSMSIG00000004454.1)". Lineage: Eukaryota; Metazoa; Chordata; Mammalia; Rodentia; Muridae. The record is from RNAcentral.
AAUCAAAAACACAGAGAACAAUCUGCCUGAGUUCUUGUUUAUGUAUGAAGAAAGCAGUGUCUUGGCAGAUCAGAUCCAGUGUGUACUAGAGUGUAAGUUGAUAGCAAAGCUGAGACAAGAUUUUGAUUCUCUAUUUGUGUAUGCUUGUUCUACCACUAUAGAUUUUUCUUUCUGUGCUGGGGGGGAGGGGUAGAACCCAAUGCCUUAUGCAAGCUAGCACGUCUCUCCAUCAUCAAGUUAUUUCCCUAGCUCUGAAGAGAUUAUAUAUAUAUAUAUAUAUAUAAAUUAGAGCUAGGUAUGCCAGUACACAAUCGUAGCCCCAGCACUUCUGAGUUGGAGGUUGGGUGAUCAGGUAUUUAAGGUUAUGCUCAGUUACAUAAAUCCAGUUUGGCCUACAUGAGACUCUGUUAAAAAAAAAAACAAAAACAAAAACAAAAACUUAAAACCAUGGCUGAAGUGAUGGCUCAGUGGUUACCAGCACUGGCUGCUCUUCCAGAGAUCUCAAGUUCAAUUCCCAGCAACCACAUGGCGGCUCACAACCAUCUGUAAUGAAAUCUGAUUCCCUCUUCUGGUGUGUCUGAAGACAGAACACUUACAUACAUAAAAUAAAUAAACAAACCUAAAAACUAAAGCAGAUAAAAAUAUGAGGUAUGGCAAUAAGUUGUUCAUUCAUAUCAUGUUAAAUCAAGCAGUUUUAUGAUGGUCCGUUCUUUUUUUCCAUUAAUAUAACCAUGACCAUAUAACUAGAACGGAAACAAGGAGACAUUAGUUGCUGUGAUAUACGAGUCACUAUGAUUUAGCGCAUGCGUUUCCUUUUCAGAAAUAGUCUGGUUUCCAAUGAGUCCACUGAACAAAUUCUUCUCAAGAAUGUGCACUAUAUCAGUCUUCAGAGACUAUUUGAUUCAACAAAGAAGAUGGAUUCCCUUCCCUGCGUCACAGAAGUCCAGAUAGGGAAACCGCAGCAAUGUUUACUGUAGUUCCUGACUCCCUUCUUUUCUGCUGAAGUGAGUUCUCCCCUCUUCCUUUCCUCCUCCUUCCCUCCAAAACUAUCCUCUUCCUCCUCUCCUGCUCUCCCUUCCAAUCAUCCAUUCCCACCUACCAGGUUCUCAGAAUGUAGUCCAGACUGCUUUCAAACGUAGUCAUCCUGCUCAGCCUCUGAGGGCAUGGAUUGCGGGUGUGCUCCAUCAAACCCAAUGGCGUUUUCAUGUUGCUCCCCAAAAUGGUUGUUGGUCUGUCUGUCUUCUCUCUCUCUCUCUCUCUCUCCCCCCCCUCCCUCUCUCGCUCGCCUUGAACUCAAGAGAUAUAUCUGCCUGACUCUGCC